AACGAACGCUGGCGGCGUGGAUAAGACAUGCAAGUCGAACGCUUGUCGUGGAGUAGCAAUAUUUUGCGGCAGGAGUGGCGUAAGGGUGCGUAACACGUGGGUCAUUUGCCGCGAAGCUGGGAAUAACUCGUUGAAAGACGAGCUAAUACCCAAUGAAUCCUUGGUGGACUAAAGGUGGGGAUCUUCGGACCUGCCGCUUCAUGAUAAGCCCGCGGCCUAUCAGCUUGUUGGUGAGGUAAAAGCUCACCAAGGCUAAGACGGGUAACUGGUCUGAGAGGACGGUCGGUCACACUGGAACUGAGACACGGUCCAGACACCUACGGGUGGCAGCAGUCGAGAAUCAUUCACAAUGGGCGAAAGCCUGAUGGUGCGACGCCGCGUGGGGGAUGAAGUGCUUCGGUAUGUAAACCCCUGUCAUCUGCGAGCAAACCUUUUCGGUUAACACCUGGAAAGCUGAUAGUAGCAGAAGAGGAAGGGACGGCUAACUCUGUGCCAGCAGCCGCGGUAAUACAGAGGUCCCAAGCGUUGUUCGGAUUCACUGGGCGUAAAGGGUGCGUAGGUGGCGAGGUAAGUUCGGUGUGAAAUCUCCGAGCUCAACUCGGAAAUUGCACUGAAAACUGCCAAGCUCGAGGAUCGGAGGGGAGAGUGGAAUUCAUGGUGUAGCAGUGAAAUGCGUAGAUAUCAAGAGGAACACCGGUGGCGAAGGCGACUCUCUGGACGAUUCCUGACGCUGAGGCACGAAAGCUAGGGGAGCAAACAGGAUUAGAUACCCUGGUAGUCCUAGCCGUAAACGGUGUGCACUUGCUGUGGGCGGAAUCGACCCCGUUCGUGGCGUAGCUAACGUGUUAAGUGCACCGCCUGGGGAGUACGGUCGCAAGAUUAAAACUCAAAGAAAUUGACGGGGGCCUGCACAAGCGGUGGAGUAUGUGGCUUAAUUCGAUGCAACGCGAAGAACUUACCUGGGCCUUGACAUGCAGAUGGUAGAAGCUUGAAAGGGUGACGAUCCCGCAGGGGAAGUCUGCACAGGUGCUGCAUGGCUGUCGUCAGCUCGUGUCGUGAGAUGUUGGGUUAAGUCCCGCAACGAGCGCAACCCUCAUGUUCUGUUGCCACCCAAACGAGAGUUUGGAGCACUCCGAACAGACUGCCCCAUUUUAAUGGGGAGGAAGGUGGGGAUGACGUCAAGUCAGUAUGGCCCUUACGUCCAGGGCUGCACACGUACUACAAUGCCCGGCACAAUGGGAAGCAAGACCGCAAGGUGGAGCCAAUCCCCAAAACCGGGCUCAGUUCAGAUUGUCGGCUGCAACUCGCCGGCAUGAAGGUGGAAUCGCUAGUAAUGGCGCAUCAGCUACGGCGCCGUGAAUACGUUCCCAGGCCUUGUACACACCGCCCGUCACAUCAUGAAAGCCGACGGUACCCGAAGUCUGCGCGCUAACCCGCAAGGGAAGCGUGCCGAAGGUAUGGCUGGUGAUUGGGAUG
Molecule: ribosomal RNA, 1476 nt
Filed under: uncultured prokaryote
Description: partial 16S ribosomal RNA
Rfam family: Bacterial small subunit ribosomal RNA
Source: RNAcentral